GGAGGCUCAACAGGAAUGGGAAAGCCGUGGGGAUCCAUGCUGAGGAAAGGGCGUUCGUAGGCGCAUAUUCCAAGGGAGCACUGGAAGGUGACGUACUCGCGGAAAAUCCACGGACAGAGGUCGCAUCUAGUAGCCGGGCGGAUUUCUGGGAUUAGUACGUUGCAGUUCUCACAAUAUUCAUACUCCUGAUUCAAGCCGACAGCUAGGUAGUGGCGGAAACCUUCAAAAUACAGCUCUCGUUUCUGGGGUGAAAGAGUUUUGACGCACUCGUAGCAUAGAGAGGAGCCAGUUUCCUUAUGGUUUGCGAAGAGAAUGAGGCAGCAGCGAGCCGACUGAGACCAGGGUCGACCUAGCCCAAGGACACCCUUAAUUAUUAGAGGCCAUUGAGGCCAGCGAUCAAGAGGGUUACUCAACUGAUUUGACAUGGCAUGAUAGCAACGCCUGUGGCCGAGCGGAAAAUCACGGGCGUUACGGGGGAGUUGCUCCGGCAUGUGGUGUAGACGGUAGCGAGGUAAAUUGUUAAAGUGAUAUGACAACGUGGUGAAUAAGUAAAUUCGAAUACUAUGAAUUACGUGUAAGUGUUUAAGUCACUGUAAGA
This is a long non-coding RNA of Wasmannia auropunctata (little fire ant), 598 nucleotides long. RefSeq lists it as uncharacterized. NCBI's taxonomy places the organism in Eukaryota, Metazoa, Arthropoda, Insecta, Hymenoptera, Formicidae. The transcript has 3 exons. The record is from RefSeq and is a predicted model, not a curated record.